Molecule: transfer RNA, 72 nt
Organism: Camelus ferus (Wild Bactrian camel)
Lineage: Eukaryota; Metazoa; Chordata; Mammalia; Artiodactyla; Camelidae
Rfam family: tRNA
About the family: Transfer RNA (tRNA) molecules are approximately 80 nucleotides in length. Their secondary structure includes four short double-helical elements and three loops (D, anti-codon, and T loops). Further hydrogen bonds mediate the characteristic L-shaped molecular structure. tRNAs have two regions of fundamental functional importance: the anti-codon, which is responsible for specific mRNA codon recognition, and the 3' end, to which the tRNAs corresponding amino acid is attached (by aminoacyl-tRNA synthetases). tRNAs cope with the degeneracy of the genetic code in two manners: having more than one tRNA (with a specific anti-codon) for a particular amino acid; and 'wobble' base-pairing, i.e. permitting non-standard base-pairing at the 3rd anti-codon position.
Source: Rfam
GAGGGCGUAGCUCAGCGGUAGAGCUCAUGCUUCACGUGCAUGAGGUCGUGGGUUCAAUCCCCAGUACCUCCA